RNAcentral lists this long non-coding RNA (1877 nucleotides) under Marmota monax (woodchuck). Lineage: Eukaryota; Metazoa; Chordata; Mammalia; Rodentia; Sciuridae. The record is from RNAcentral.
GGCGCCCCGCCCCCUCCGCUGCUCCCUCCCCCACUGAGCGCUGCUGGUCGCUCGGCUCUCGGUUCCCGCGGGCUUUCCUGGCGACGGCCUCCCCCCCUUCUCGCCUAGGGUCUUGCUCCUCUCCCUCUUCUUUUCUCCACGUCUCUCCUCUCCCUCUUCGUUUCUUUACGCCUCUCCCCCUCCUGCUUUCCGCCUGUUCCGGGAGCCGAGCCCAGUCGCCUGGCUGCGCCGUGCAGCCGAGCGAGGCCCCCAGGUCCCUGUGGAACUGCGCUCCACCUGCCUCCAACUCCCUCCAUCAUCCGACCUGUUCUUUUCUUCACUGCUCAUUUCUUUCUUCCCUGAAAUAGGAGGCAGCUAGUCCCUUCUCCAUUCUCCUUGUUUUCAGUCUGUACUGUUUCUCCCUCUCGCCACCCCACCCCACUCCUUGGUUUCCCCCUUGUCCCCGCCCUCCCACCUUCUCCCUAAACUCAGCCCGAUGGAACAGUGAGAGGGCGAAGAUAAAAAUGGCAAAUGUCAGUAUCAACAUUGUUAUUGUUUUUGGUUGCUGAAACGGAAGAUGAACUGGAAUGCCCAAAUCAACUCAGAUCCAGGACCAAGAUUGAGUUCUUAAAAUUGCAAGUGAGACUGCAACGACAAAGUUAAUUAUGCCAACAAAAUUAUCAGCUUUUUCAGGCAGUGGGUGGGGGCGUUUAACUCUUAUUUUCAUUGUUUGCAAUAUUGAAAAUGAAGUCGACUCACAGAGCUGAGGUUCGGGGCCAAUCUGCGCACAAGUCAUUUGGAAUAAACAGUAGAAACCUUAAUUUAAAACGAGGCAAAUUGGAUGGGGGUAGAGCUCCGUGGUAGAGUGCUUGGCAAGAUCCCGAGAUCAAUUCCCAAUACUGGAAAAAAAAAUAUGUGUGUGUGUGUGAUACAAUGAAGAAACAAGUAACUUUCUCAAGAUUAUUAUAGUGGAAGAUCUUAAAUGUGAUCCCAGGUAAGACUCCAGAUGGCAGCUCAUUAAAACAUCCAGAAGGCGGAACAGGCAUGUAUACCUUCCCAUCUACCACAGGCGAUUUCACAAACCUCCCAGCUCUGACCUACAAGGCCCAGCCUUAUGGGACCCUUGUUGCCUUUCCAGUUUCACUCAUUACAUUCCAAGCACACUGAGGACCUUUCUGCCCAAACAUUUUUUGCCACAGGGCCUUUGUAUUUGUUAUUUCUUUGCCCUUCUGGAGCAGCAUUUAUUCAGACCACCCAUGUGACUCAGCUCAUGUGUCAACUCAGGGAGGCAUUUCUUUCUUUUGCUUCUGUACUGGGUAUUGAGCCCAGGGGUGCUCUACCACUGAAUUACAUCCCUGCCCCUUUUUAAACUUUUAGUUUGAGGCAGGGUCUCAUGUUGCUCAGGCUUGCUUCAGACUUGCCAUCCCCUACUUCAGCCUCCUGAGUCUCUAGGGUUAUAGGUUUGUACCACAGAGUCAGACUCAGGGAGGCAUUUCUGAUAACUGUGUCUAAAGUAAAUAUCCUCUCUGCCCCCAAACCAGGUACUUUCUGUUAUAUUACCCUGUUAUUUCCUUCAGAGCACUUAGCACAGUCUGAAAUCAUCUUGUUUAUUCACUGUGAUGGCCUGUUCCCAUUCUCCCUCCCACCAUUAAGAUGUGAACUCUUGGAGGCAGGGGCCUUCUCCCCCCGCCCCCCCUCAGAACUGUAUCUCCAGGACAAGGCAGGUGCUUAACAGUCCUUGAUGAAUAAUAGCCACAUUUCUAUAAUAUGAUGGACUACCAAAUUGUCCUUCCUCUCAGAUUCUGUCAAAAUUGUAUAGUCAUAUCUAUAAGGAAGAGAAUUUGGAAAAUAGCUAUGUCCUUUGUUAAUAGACUGUUUCUUUGAUUUCCUUACUUCCU